CUCAUUUCCUCUAUCUCUUUCUC
This 23-nucleotide non-coding RNA is filed under the name Arabidopsis thaliana (thale cress). The record is from RNAcentral. Lineage: Eukaryota; Viridiplantae; Streptophyta; Magnoliopsida; Brassicales; Brassicaceae.